Humulus lupulus (European hop) is the source of this 551-nucleotide long non-coding RNA. RefSeq lists it as uncharacterized. The record is from RefSeq and is a predicted model, not a curated record. The transcript is spliced from 3 exons. NCBI's taxonomy places the organism in Eukaryota, Viridiplantae, Streptophyta, Magnoliopsida, Rosales, Cannabaceae.
CUCUCAUUCACUCUCAUCUGAUUUUUUAAGACCAUUCAAAGUGUUCUCUCAAUAUUCAACCUCAAGAACACCAAGGAAAACUUGGAGGCUAAGUCUUGGUCUAGGAAGUAUUUUCCCUAAGGUAAACCUUCACUAAUCUAGGCUUUUGUAAAGUUUUAAGCUUAGAGUUUCAAAUAGCUAAUUAACUAUGUUGUUGGGGGAAGUUGGUUAGGGUUUUUGAAAGGUUUUGGAGGAGCCAAAGCUAAUAGGAAGGUCCAAACCUUAAGCAAGAACACCAAAGAGUAUUGGCUAAGCGUAACUGGACUGAACGUUGGAGGGUGAAAACUUGCUGAGCGCUAAGGACUCCAAGUAAGUGCAAGGGCAAGGCAGAGCAGUGAGCGCUGGAGUCUUCCUUGCAAAUGUACAUGUGGACCGACCUUUUGGGAAGCCUUUUUAUUUUUGGAAAUGUUGUGUAAUUUUCCUAAACUAGGCUCACUCUAAUCUUUAUAAAACAUGUUUGUAAUUAAAUGUUAAGUAUGGCCAUACGACUUUUUAAAAAGUUUUUUUUUCUA